AUUGAACGCUGGCGGCAGGCCUAACACAUGCAAGUCGAGCGGAUGAAGGGAGCUUGCUCCUGGAUUCAGCGGCGGACGGGUGAGUAAUGCCUAGGAAUCUGCCUGGUAGUGGGGGAUAACGUCCGGAAACGGGCGCUAAUACCGCAUACGUCCUGAGGGAGAAAGUGGGGGAUCUUCGGACCUCACGCUAUCAGAUGAGCCUAGGUCGGAUUAGCUAGUUGGUGGGGUAAAGGCCUACCAAGGCGACGAUCCGUAACUGGUCUGAGAGGAUGAUCAGUCACACUGGAACUGAGACACGGUCCAGACUCCUACGGGAGGCGGCAGUGGGGAAUCUUGGACAAUGGGCGAAAGCCUGAUCCAGCCCUGCCGCGUGUGUGAAGAAGGUCUUCGGAUUGUAAAGCACUUUAAGUUGGGAGGAAGGGCAGUAAGUUAAUACCUUGCUGUUUUGACGUUACCAACAGAAUAAGCACCGGCUAACUUCGUG
This 484-nucleotide ribosomal RNA is filed under the name uncultured bacterium. RNAcentral describes it as "partial 16S ribosomal RNA". It matches the Rfam family "Bacterial small subunit ribosomal RNA", at positions 30 to 507 of the family's 1533-position model. The record is from RNAcentral.